GAUGAACGCUGGCGGCGUGCCUAAUACAUGCAAGUCGAGCGAACAGAUGAGGAGCUUGCUCCUCUGACGUUAGCGGCGGACGGGUGAGUAACACGUGGAUAACCUACCUAUAAGACUGGGAUAACUUCGGGAAACCGGAGCUAAUACCGGAUAAUAUAUUGAACCGCAUGGUUCAAUAGUGAAAGACGGUUUUGCUGUCACUUAUAGAUGGAUCCGCGCCGCAUUAGCUAGUUGGUAAGGUAACGGCUUACCAAGGCAACGAUGCGUAGCCGACCUGAGAGGGUGAUCGGCCACACUGGAACUGAGACACGGUCCAGACUCCUACGGGAGGCAGCAGUAGGGAAUCUUCCGCAAUGGGCGAAAGCUUGACGGAGCAACGCCGCGUGAGUGAUGAAGGUCUUCGGAUCGUAAAACUCUGUUAUUAGGGAAGAACAAAUGUGUGAGUAACUAUGCACGUCUUGACGGUACCUAAUCAAAAAGCCCCGGCUAACUACGUG
This 497-nucleotide ribosomal RNA is filed under the name uncultured bacterium. RNAcentral's name for it is "partial 16S ribosomal RNA". It matches the Rfam family "Bacterial small subunit ribosomal RNA", at positions 28 to 507 of the family's 1533-position model. The record is from RNAcentral.